Molecule: long non-coding RNA, 713 nt
Organism: Rhagoletis pomonella (apple maggot)
Lineage: Eukaryota; Metazoa; Arthropoda; Insecta; Diptera; Tephritidae
Exons: 2
Source: RefSeq, a predicted model, not a curated record
CUUCGUUAGCAACGAGUGUUGGUGGACGUGUUUCGGCGCAUAAUAUUAACUACUUUGCUUUUUGGCGCAACGGCACAUGUGUAUGUGCUUUGUAAAAUCACCAUUUUGAUUUAAGUGGAUAAGAAAAAACCUAAAAACUAUAGCCUUUUUCAAGGCUGACGCUUUUAAGUACAGACGGUGCUUCGCUUUUGGCGUCACAGCGUACUUUUGUGGACAAAUCUGUGAAAAAUUUUUAAUUCACCGGAAUUGUGUGGGAGCACCCAAGGUUCAGCUCCACAGGUGUCAAUACCGUCCACCUCACUCAAAACCCUCCCCAUCCCUAACACAACCCAACUGUUACACCAACAAACCCUGCUUUCGAAAUUCCAUCAUACUUAUAUAUACCGAACAUACAAACGCAACGUCAACAUCAUCAAGUCUACUCCCACAUAACCAUCGUUAUCAUCUACUACGUUUGAUUACCUGCCAUUCAACCGCAUAAACCAACUCACACUUUCGUCUUCACUGUGGAACCAUCAUUAUUCAAACGAUAACACAUUCAAUUGCAGAAAUCUGCUACCGUUUUAAAGGACACAUCUCCGACCAAAUCGCAGUAUACACACAUUGUGCUUAGAUGCACUCUCGUGUAACAUUGCUACAGAUCUAUUAAAGCAGAGGGAUAACCUGGCGUUGGGGAAACCUGCCAACCUAAUCAAAUCUCAAAAAAAAAAAAA